This is a non-coding RNA of Petromyzon marinus (sea lamprey), 3295 nucleotides long. The record is from RefSeq and is a predicted model, not a curated record. NCBI's taxonomy places the organism in Eukaryota, Metazoa, Chordata, Hyperoartia, Petromyzontiformes, Petromyzontidae.
AGGACCGGUCCAGAAAAUCGUCACCGGUGUUGGCCGUGAGUGGAAGUCGAACUCGGGUAACCUGAUUUGUAGCGAAACGCGCUAACCACUGCACUACCGCUCCACACAACUCUCUGCUGAGUAUUCUAGCGGUGUCUCCACACGAGGUAGACACACACACAGACACAGACAACUCUGCUGAGUAUUCUAGCGUUGUCUCCACACGAGGUAGACACACAGACACAGACAACUCUCUGCUGAGUAUUCUAGCGGUGUCUUCACACGAGGUAGACACACAGACACAGACAACUCUCUGCUGAGUAUUCUAGCGGUGUCUCCACACGAGGUAGACACACACAACACAGACAACUCUCUGCUGAUUAUUCUAGCGGUGUUUUCACACGAGGUAGACACACACACACAGACAACUCUCUGCUGAGUAUUCUAGCGGUGUCUCCACACGAGGUAGACACACACACAGACACAGACAACUCUCUGCUGAGUAUUCUAGCAGUGUCUCCACACGAGGUAGACACACACAGACAACUCUCUGCUGAGUAUUCUAGCGGUGUCUCCACGCGAGGUAGACACACACACACAGACAACUCUCUGCUGAGUAUUCUAGCGGUAUCUCCACACGAGGUAGACACACACAGACAACUCUCUGCUGAGUAUUCUAGCGGUGUCUCCACACGAGGUAGACACACACACAGACAACUCUCUGCUGAGUAUUCUAGCGGUGUCUCCACGCGAGGUAGACACACACAGACAACUCUCUGCUGAGUAUUCUAGCAGUGUCUCCACACGAGGUAGACACACACACACAGACAACUCUCUGCUGAGUAUUCUAGCGGUGUCUCCACACGAGGUAGACACACACACAGACAACUCUCUGCUGAGUAUUCUAGCGGUGUCUCCACACGAGGUAGACACACACAGACAACUCUCUGCUGAGUAUUCUAGCAGUGUCUCCACACGAGGUAGACACACACACACAGACAACUCUCUGCUGAGUAUUCUAGCGGUGUCUCCACACGAGGUAGACACACACACAGACAACUCUCUGCUGAGUAUUCUAGCGGUGUCUCCACACGAGGUAGACACACACACAGACAACUCUCUGCUGAGUAUUCCAACGAUGUCUCUGCGACAGACAUCACCAGUCAUGUAGCGUACUCACGCGGCACGUGACUCUGAUUCCUUUCGUGUCUAUCUUGAGCCCCAAUCGGGAGCCUUUUUUUAUUAAGCCCUUCCGUCUUCUCCUGCGGUUCUACAGACUCGUAAAGGUUUAUGGAGAUCCGAUGCGACCGAUGUUGCUGCUACCAUCCGCAACACUGGCGUAUCUGCCAACUCAGUCGCUCGCCGGAGACCAGUCGCCUCCCUGUCGCUCUUCUAUCGCUGCGACCACCGUUCCGGUUCGCGUGAACUCCCACCCGUCGAAUCCUCCUCCACCCGUGUCGAGGAAUCGGUCUCUCCCAACACGCUCACCGUUUCGUUCGUUCCGUGCACGCCGUGUUCAAAAAUCACGAUGCAGGUCACAACAAGCACACUUCACUCACCAACUCACUCACCCACCCACCCCCUCCACUCGUCACACUUCAGGGCACCUCGCUUCCCCUGUUGUGAUUCUUCCCCUCGCAUCGCUCAACUUUGAAAUUCCCUCCCAAGUGUAACCUCGCUCAAUUCGCGACGCGCCUUACACUCUAAUUAAUGAUCAAUUACAGCUCCGGCAGUGCUGUUUGUUGCUGGCCGCUUGACAAAUUGGCCAUUUGGAUCUGGGCCCAACAACUGUUGUUGUGUUUUUCUUUCUUAUAAUUUACGGACGGGGUGGGGAGGGGGGGGGGGGUUGUGAAACGUCGUACAUUGUUACGCCCACGUCAAAUGAAAACACGCGCAACUGAUGUCCUGUCGUACAUGCGCGCUGGCCUCGGAGGAACGGAGUUACGCACGGAGAAUAUCCGAGUCUGCAGCACAGAGGCCGCUCAGCCACAAGGAGUUAUCCACGGGGACCGUCGUGGCUGCCGAAAUGAAGGGGACAGCUGAGACUGCCGCACCGGCAGAGGCGAGCAGAGGCGAGCAGCUGCUCCUGCUGCUAGGAGGUGUCUCCUCAACGGCGGAGCAGGCGGCUCGCCAUCGGAAGGUGUCGAGUUGACAUCCUGGCCGGGGGGUGUUGACUCAGCCCGUCAUCCCUCCGCGGUUGAUAAAGCACCACUUUGUGGGAAUGUCAACAGUGGUUGUCCGGUAGCGAGAUUCUUUGCGCUCUCUCUCCCUCUCGCUCUGUCUCUCUCUCUCUCUCUCCCUCUACGAGCCGUGUCCUCUGUCAAAGACAUCCGCAAUCACGCAUGGCCUUCCUUCCAUUUAGCCGUGUCCAUGAUAUUAACUCUAACACGUUGUAUUAGAUGCUCACAAUUGCAUCCGAUUGUCCAAUUUGCUCAUGCAACUUAAUUCGCUAUAAUCACUGGCUUCUUGUAUACCUGUAAUUGUCCCAGUCAAAACACAUUCAUAUUCACUCGCUUCUUUUCACAUUGCAUGUCUGAGAAAUCUCACUUGACCUUUCUCCAAUUCGUCCUAUUAACUUUACUUCCGAGUAGCCUCCUGCUAUCUAUCAUACAUUUACGUUCCUCCUCUUGUCUGUGAAACGUUUAAGAUCCUUCUCCUUAAACCAAAAAUAAACUUAUCUGCUGCAUUUGGUUUGCUCUGGAAGGGCAUUUGAUUCGCUCCCACUGAAUUUAGAAACAUCCUUUGAGAUUAUUUAGAUAAUUUCGGUGCUACAAAUUUCCAAAUUAUGGCUGCCACUUUGUUGAGCUAUCAUUUGUGGCCAGGUCGCUUCUGAAAAAUAAGUUCAUUCCUAAGUGGGCUUUGCCUGGGUAGUUAUAUUUGUAUGUGUUUGGGUGAUUUGUUCACCUUUUUGUACUUUUCACCACUAUCAUGUUCUGUAUCGUUUGUUGUUGUAACGUUCUUACCCGCCCCUACUGGACAUCUGAAAAUAAUAAAAGAGCUUUACAUCUCAUCGGAUUCCUCCAGUAUGAAUACACAUUCUGGUUCUGAAUUCGCACCACUGGGUUCUGCAGAGCUGUAGACAGGAGUUGAGCAAUCUUGAUUUGAAGCUUUCGUGACUGCAGGAAUCCAUACUCUUUGGUUCUUUCGGUAAAGUCACGUAAGGAUAUAAAAUAAAAUAAAUCACGACGUUUCAGGUGCCAACACAAGCGUCCGUCAUCAGGUGGCCUCACACGACCGAUAUUGCUCAUAAUUGAGUUGUUUUUUUUGGGGUUAGAUCGCGUGAGAAUAAAUGUGUCGUGACCCGCCACCACCCGAC